GUGUUCACUUCAACAGCACAUAUACCAAAAAUUGAACCCAUACAAAGAAGAUUAGCAUGGCCCCCCAUGCAAGGAUGACACACAAAUUCAUGAAGCAUUCCAUACUAAA
This is a small nuclear RNA of Dama dama (fallow deer), 109 nucleotides long. The record is from RefSeq and is a predicted model, not a curated record. NCBI's taxonomy places the organism in Eukaryota, Metazoa, Chordata, Mammalia, Artiodactyla, Cervidae.